Molecule: ribosomal RNA, 253 nt
Filed under: uncultured bacterium
Lineage: Bacteria
Description: partial 16S ribosomal RNA
Rfam family: Bacterial small subunit ribosomal RNA
Source: RNAcentral
UACGUAGGGGGCAAGCGUUGUCCGGAUUUAUUGGGCGUAAAGAGCGUGUAGGCGGCCAGACAGGUCCGUUGUGAAAACUCGAGGCUCAACCUCGAGAUGUCGAUGGAAACCGUCUGGCUAGAGUCCGGAAGAGGAGAGUGGAAUUCCUGGUGUAGCGGUGAAAUGCGCAGAUAUCAGGAGGAACACCCGUGGCGAAAGCGGCUCUCUGGGACGGUACUGACGCUGAGACGCGAAAGCGUGGGGAGCGAACAGG